UGGGGAAUAUUGCACAAUGGGCGAAAGCCUGAUGCAGCAACGCCGCGUGAGUGAUGAAGGCCUUCGGGUUGUAAAGCUCUGUCUUCUGGGACGAUAAUGACGGUACCAGAGGAGGAAGCCACGGCUAACUACGUGCCAGCAGCCGCGGUAAUACGUAGGUGGCAAGCGUUGUCCGGAUUUACUGGGCGUAAAGGAUGCGUAGGCGGAUACUUAAGUCAGAUGUGAAAAUCCCGGGCUUAACUUGGGAACUGCAUUUGAAACUGGGUAUCUAGAGUGCGGGAGAGGAAAGUGGAAUUCCUAGUGUAGCGGUGAAAUGCGUAGAGAUUAGGAAUAACACCAGUGGCGAAGGCGACUUUCUGGACCAUAACUGACGCUGAGGCAUGAAAGCGUGGGGAGCAAACA
Molecule: ribosomal RNA, 402 nt
Filed under: uncultured bacterium
Lineage: Bacteria
Description: bacterial SSU rRNA
Rfam family: Bacterial small subunit ribosomal RNA
Source: RNAcentral